Long non-coding RNA from Oxyura jamaicensis (ruddy duck), 196 nucleotides. RefSeq lists it as uncharacterized. The transcript is spliced from 2 exons. NCBI's taxonomy places the organism in Eukaryota, Metazoa, Chordata, Aves, Anseriformes, Anatidae. The record is from RefSeq and is a predicted model, not a curated record.
AUUUCACAAUCCUCUUCAUCUUUUCAAAUCCAUUCAUUUAUGGCUCCUCUUCCCUACCUACACCCUAUCACACAGCACCCACCCACAAAAACUGCUACUUUUUCUGAUGUUAAGUUAGAAACUUCAGGUUCUAAACAUUUGCUUCCUAAAAGACUAACUUUAUCCAUAUGAGCCUGACUCUUAAAAUAAUCUUUAA